This 404-nucleotide ribosomal RNA is filed under the name uncultured bacterium. Its description in RNAcentral is "bacterial SSU rRNA". It matches the Rfam family "Bacterial small subunit ribosomal RNA", at positions 355 to 776 of the family's 1533-position model. The record is from RNAcentral.
UGGGGAAUAUUGGACAAUGGGCGAAAGCCUGAUCCAGCAAUACCGCGUGGGUGAUGAAGGCCUUAGGGUUGUAAAGCCCUUUCAGUAGGGAAGAUGAUGACAGUACCUACAAAAGAAGCUCCGGCUAACUUCGUGCCAGCAGCCGCGGUAAUACGAAGGGAGCUAGCGUUGUUCGGAAUUAUUGGGCGUAAAGAGUAUGUAGGCGGCUUAAUAAGUUGGAAGUGAAAGUCCAGAGCUCAACUCUGGGAGUGCUUUCAAAACUAUUAUGCUAGAGUGAGGUAGAGGGCGAUGGAAUUCCUAGUGUAGAGGUAAAAUUCUUAGAUAUUAGGAGGAACACCGAAGGCGAAAGCGAUCGUCUGGGCCUAUACUGACGCUGAGAUACGAAAGCGUGGGGAGCAAACAGG